UACGUAGGGCGCAAGCGUUGUCCGGAAUUAUUGGGCGUAAAGAGCUCGUAGGCGGCCUGUUGCGUCCGCUGUGAAAUCCCGGGGCUUAACCCCGGGCCUGCAGUGGAUACGGGCAGGCUGGAGGCAGGCAGGGGAGAACGGAAUUCCUGGUGUAGCGGUGGAAUGCGCAGAUAUCAGGAGGAACACCGGUGGCGAAGGCGGGUCUCUGGGCCAUUACUGACGCUGAGGAGCGAAAGCGUGGGGAGCGAACAGG
Molecule: ribosomal RNA, 253 nt
Filed under: uncultured bacterium
Lineage: Bacteria
Description: partial 16S ribosomal RNA
Rfam family: Bacterial small subunit ribosomal RNA
Source: RNAcentral